This 67-nucleotide transfer RNA is filed under the name Marmota monax (woodchuck). RNAcentral describes it as "tRNA.Ala". It matches the Rfam family "tRNA". Rfam says of the family: Transfer RNA (tRNA) molecules are approximately 80 nucleotides in length. Their secondary structure includes four short double-helical elements and three loops (D, anti-codon, and T loops). Lineage: Eukaryota; Metazoa; Chordata; Mammalia; Rodentia; Sciuridae. The record is from RNAcentral.
GGUCAUGGCUCAGUGGCAGAGCACUUGCCUAGCAUGCAUGAGGCACUGGGCUCGAUCCCCAGCACCA